UACGGAGGAGGCAAGCGUUAUCCGGAAUUAUUGGGCGUAAAGCGUCUGUAGGUGGUUUAAAAAGUCCACUGUUAAAAAUUGAAGCUUAACUUCAAAGAUGCCGUGGAAACUUUUAAACUUGAGUAUGGUAGGGGUAGAGGGAAUUUCCAGUGGAGCGGUGAAAUGCGUAGAUAUUGGAAAGACCACCAAUGGCGAAGGCACUCUACUGGGCCAUUACUGACACUGAGAGACGAAAGCUAGGGGAGCAAAUGGG
RNAcentral lists this ribosomal RNA (253 nucleotides) under uncultured bacterium. RNAcentral's name for it is "partial 16S ribosomal RNA". It matches the Rfam family "Bacterial small subunit ribosomal RNA", at positions 524 to 776 of the family's 1533-position model. The record is from RNAcentral.